Molecule: non-coding RNA, 86 nt
Filed under: uncultured Eubacterium sp.
Lineage: Bacteria; Bacillati; Bacillota; Clostridia; Eubacteriales; Eubacteriaceae
Description: TPP riboswitch (THI element)
Rfam family: TPP riboswitch aptamer (THI element)
About the family: Vitamin B(1) in its active form thiamin pyrophosphate (TPP) is an essential coenzyme that is synthesised by coupling of pyrimidine and thiazole moieties in bacteria.
Source: RNAcentral
CAUAAAGGGGAGCUGAAAGGCUGAGAAAGGUAAUAACCUGACCCUGAAAACCUGAUUUGGAUAAUGCCAGCGGAGGGAUUAUGGAA